AAGACUUUAAGUUAAUUAAACUAAUAUCCUUCAAAGCUAUAAUUAAAGAAUUUUCUUUAAGUCUUA
Molecule: transfer RNA, 66 nt
Filed under: Raptrix fusca
Lineage: Eukaryota; Metazoa; Arthropoda; Insecta; Mantodea; Acanthopidae
Description: tRNA-Trp
Source: RNAcentral